Oncorhynchus keta (chum salmon) is the source of this 1842-nucleotide long non-coding RNA. RefSeq lists it as uncharacterized. The transcript is spliced from 5 exons. The record is from RefSeq and is a predicted model, not a curated record. NCBI's taxonomy places the organism in Eukaryota, Metazoa, Chordata, Actinopteri, Salmoniformes, Salmonidae.
GCUUAGCUAAAUAUUGCCUGGUGGGUUAGCUAGUUAGGUACCAUGGUUGGCUAGCUAGUUAUAGGUACCAUGGUUGGCUAGCUAAUUAGGUACCAUGGUUGGCUGGCUAGUUAUAGGUACCAUGGUUGGCCAGCUAGUUAGGUACCAUGGUUGGCUGGCUAGUUAUAGGUACCUUGUUUGGCGAGUUAGUUAGGUACCUUGGUUGGCUAGCUAGUUAGUUAGGUACCAUGGUUGGCUAGCUAGUUAUAGGUACCAUGGUUGGCCAGCUAGUUAGGUACCAUGGUUGGCUGGCUAGUUAUAGGUACCUUGGUUGGCGAGUUAGUUAGGUACCUUGGUUGGCUAGCUAGUUAGUUAGGUACCAUGGUUGGCUAGCUAGUUAGGUACCAUGGUUGGCUAGCUAGUUAUAGGUACCUUGGUUGGCGAGUUAGUUAGGUACCUUGGUUGGCUAGCUAGUUAUAGGUACCAUGGUUGGCUAGCUAGUUAGGUACCAUGGUUGGCUGGCUAGUUAUAGGUACCUUGGUUGGCGAGUUAGUUUGGUACCUUGGUUGGCUAGCUAGUUAGUUUGGUACCUUGGUUGGCUAGCUAGUUAGUUAGGUACCAUGGUUGGCUAGCUAGUUAGGUACCAUGGUUGGCUAGCUAGUUAUAGGUACCUUGGUUGGCGAGUUAGUUAGGUACCUUGGUUGGCUAGCUAGUUAUAGGUACCAUGGUUGGCUAGCUAGUUAUAGGUACCUUGGUUGGCUAGCUAGUUAGGUACCAUGGUUGGCUAGCUAGUUAUAGGUACCUUGGUUGGCGAGUUAGUUAGGUACCUUGGUUGGCUAGCUAGUUAUAUGUACCUUGGUUGGCUAGCUAGUUAUAGGUACCAUGGUUGGCUAGCUAGUUAUAGGUACCAUGGUUGGCUAGCUAGUUAUAGGUACCAUGGUUGGCUGGCUAGUAAGUUAGGUACCUUGGUUGGCUAGUUGGCUACAUAAGCUAAGGUUGGCUAGUUAGUUAUGUACCUUGGUUGGCUAGUUAGUUAGGUACCUUGGUUGGCUAGUUAGUUAGGUACCAUGGUUGGCUAGUAAGUUAGGUACCAUGGUUGGCUAGUAAGUUAGGUACCUUGGUUGGCUAGCUAGUUAUAGAUACCAUGGUUGGCUAGUAAGUUAGGUACCUUGGUUGGCUAGUUAGUUAGGUACCUUGGUUGGCUAGUUAGUUAGGUACCUUGGUUGGCUAGUUAGUUAUGUACCUUGGUUGGCUAGUAAGUUAGGUACCAUGGUUGGCUAGUUAGUUAUGUACCUUGGUUGGCUAGUUAGUUAGGUACCUUGGUUGGCUAGUUAGUUAGGUACCAUGGUUGGCUAGUAAGUUAGGUACCAUGGUUGGCUAGUAAGUUAGGUACCUUGGUUGGCUAGCUAGUUAUAGAUACCAUGGUUGGCUAGUAAGUUAGGUACCUUGGUUGGCUAGUUAGUUAGGUACCUUGGUUGGCUAGUUAGUUAGGUACCUUGGUUGGCUAGUUAGUUAUGUACCUUGGUUGGCUAGUAAGUUAGGUACCAUGGUUGGCUAGUUAGUUAUGUACCUUGGUUGGCUAGUUAGUUAGGUACCUUGGUUGGCUAGUUAGUUAGGUACCAUGGUUGGCUAGUAAGUUAGGUACCAUGGUUGGCUAGUAAGUUAGGUACCAUGGUUGGCUAGUAAGUUAGGUACCAUGGUUGGCUAGUAAGUUAGGUACCUUGGUUGGCUAGCUAGUUAUAGAUACCAUGGUUGGCUAGUAAGUUAGGUACCUUGGUUGGCUAGUUAGUUAGGUACCUUGGUUGGCUAGCUAGUUAUAUGUACCAUGGUUGCCUAGCUAGUUAUAGGUACCAUGGUUGGCUG